RNAcentral lists this ribosomal RNA (467 nucleotides) under uncultured bacterium. Its description in RNAcentral is "partial 16S ribosomal RNA". It matches the Rfam family "Bacterial small subunit ribosomal RNA", at positions 28 to 506 of the family's 1533-position model. The record is from RNAcentral.
GACGAACGCUGGCGGCGUGCUUAACACAUGCAAGUCGAACGGAAAGGCCCUGCUUUUGUGGGGUGCUCGAGUGGCGAACGGGUGAGUAACACGUGAGUAACCUGCCCUUGACUUUGGGAUAACUUCAGGAAACUGGGGCUAAUACCGGAUAGGAGCUCCUGCUGCAUGGUGGGGGUUGGAAAGUUUCGGCGGUUGGGGAUGGACUCGCGGCUUAUCAGCUUGUUGGUGGGGUAGUGGCUUACCAAGGCUUUGACGGGUAGCCGGCCUGAGAGGGUGACCGGCCAAAUGGGGAAUGAGAUACGGCCCAAGCUCCUACGGGGGGGAGGAGGGGGGAAUAUUGCAAAAGGGGCGGGAGCCUGAAGCAGCAACGCCGGGGGGGGGAUGAGGGCCUUCGGGUUGUAAACCGGUUUCCCCGGUGAAGAAGCGGGGGGGACGGUAAUGGGGAAAGGAGCACCGGCUAAAUAAGU